AUUGAACGCUGGCGGCAGGCCUAACACAUGCAAGUCGAGCGGAGCGGCGGACGGGUGAGUAAUGCCUAGGCAUAUGCCUGGUAGAGGGGGAUAACGACCGGAAACGGGAGCUAAUACCGCAUACUAUCAGAUGAGACUCGGUCGGAUUAGCUAGUUGGUGGGGUAAAGGCCUACCACGGCGACGAUCCGUCAAUGGUAUGCGCGGAUGAUCAGUCACACUGGAAGUGUGAUACGGUCCUGAUUCCUACGGGAGGCAGCGGUGGGGAAUAUUGGACAAUGGGCGAAAUCCUGUUCCAGCCAUCCCGCGUGUGUGUAGAAGUUCUUCGGAUCGUAAAGCACUUUAAGUUGGGAAGCGUUACCAACAGAAUAAGCACCGGCUAACUUCGUGCCAGCAGCCGCGGUAAUUC
This 407-nucleotide ribosomal RNA is filed under the name uncultured bacterium. RNAcentral describes it as "partial 16S ribosomal RNA". It matches the Rfam family "Bacterial small subunit ribosomal RNA", at positions 30 to 526 of the family's 1533-position model. The record is from RNAcentral.